This 465-nucleotide ribosomal RNA is filed under the name uncultured bacterium. RNAcentral describes it as "partial 16S ribosomal RNA". It matches the Rfam family "Bacterial small subunit ribosomal RNA", at positions 28 to 507 of the family's 1533-position model. The record is from RNAcentral.
GACGAACGCUGGCGGCGUGCUUAACACAUGCAAGUCGAACGGAAAGGCCCCUUUGGGGGUACUCGAGUGGCGAACGGGUGAGUAACACGUGAGUAACCUGCCCUUGACUUCAGGAUAACUUCAGGAAACUGGGGCUAAUACCGGAUAGGAAUCCUUGCUGCAUGGUGGGGGUUGGAAAGCUUCGGCGGUUUUGGAUGGACUCGCGGCUUAUCAGCUUGUUGGUGGGGUAGUGGCUUACCAAGGCUUUGACGGGUAGCCGGCCUGAGAGGGCGACCGGCCACAUUGGGACUGAGAUACGGCCCAGACUCCUACGGGAGGCAGCAGUGGGGAAUAUUGCACAAGGGGCGGAAGCCUGAUGCAGCAACGCCGCGUGCGGGAUGACGGCCUUCGGGUUGUAAACCGCUUUCAGCAGGGGCGAAGCUUGUGGUGACGGUACCUGCAGAAGAAGCACCGGCUAACUACGUG